RNAcentral lists this ribosomal RNA (441 nucleotides) under uncultured bacterium. Its description in RNAcentral is "partial 16S ribosomal RNA". It matches the Rfam family "Bacterial small subunit ribosomal RNA", at positions 338 to 795 of the family's 1533-position model. The record is from RNAcentral.
CCUACGGGUGACAGCAGUGGGGGAUAUUGCACAAUGGGGGGAACCCUGAUGCAGCGACGCCGCGUGGGUGAAGGAGCGUUUCGGCGCGUAAAGCCCUAUCGGCAGGGAAGAAGGAGGACGGUACCUGACGAAGAAGCCCCGGCGAACUACGUGCCAGCAGCCGCGGUAAUACGGAGGGGGCAAGCGUGAUCCGGAUUUACUGGGUGUAAAGGGGGCGCAGACGGCAGCGAAAGCCAGGAGUGAAAGCCCGGGGCCAAACCCCGGGACUGCUCUUGGAACUGCGUGGCUGGAGUGCAGGAGGGGCAGGCGGAAUUCCUGGUGUAGCGGUGAAAUGCGUAGAUAUCAGGAGGAACACCGGUGGCGACGGCGGCCUGCUGGACUGCAACUGACGUUGAGGCCCGAAAGCGUGGGGAGCAAACAGGAUUAGAUACCCUAGUAGUC